RNAcentral lists this ribosomal RNA (490 nucleotides) under uncultured bacterium. RNAcentral's name for it is "partial 16S ribosomal RNA". It matches the Rfam family "Bacterial small subunit ribosomal RNA", at positions 30 to 507 of the family's 1533-position model. The record is from RNAcentral.
AUUGAACGCUGGCGGCAGGCCUAAUACAUGCAAGUCGAACGGUAACAGGAAGCAGCUUGCUGCUUCGCUGACGAGUGGCGGACGGGUGAGUAAUGUCUGGGAAGCUGCCUGAUGGAGGGGGAUAACUACUGGAAACGGUAGCUAAUACCGCAUAAUGUCGCAAGACCAAAGAGGGGGACCUUCGGGCCUCUUGCCAUCGGAUGUGCCCAGAUGGGAUUAGCUUGUUGGUGGGGUAACGGCUCACCAAGGCGACGAUCCCUAGCUGGUCUGAGAGGAUGACCAGCCACACUGGAACUGAGACGCGGUCCAGACUCCUACGGGAGGCAGCAGUGGGGAAUAUUGCACAAUGGGCGCAAGCCUGAUGCAGCCAUGCCGCGUGUAUGAAGAAGGCCUUCGGGUUGUAAAGUACUUUCAGCGGGGAGGAAGGGAGUAAAGUUAAUACCUUUGCUCAUUGACGUUACCCGCAGAAGAAGCACCGGCUAACUCCGUG